This 1306-nucleotide ribosomal RNA is filed under the name Pseudomonas sp. B2_11. Its description in RNAcentral is "partial 16S ribosomal RNA". It matches the Rfam family "Bacterial small subunit ribosomal RNA", at positions 112 to 1421 of the family's 1533-position model. The record is from RNAcentral. Lineage: Bacteria; Pseudomonadati; Pseudomonadota; Gammaproteobacteria; Pseudomonadales; Pseudomonadaceae.
AAUGCCUAGGAAUCUGCCUGGUAGUGGGGGACAACGUUUCGAAAGGAACGCUAAUACCGCAUACGUCCUACGGGAGAAAGCAGGGGACCUUCGGGCCUUGCGCUAUCAGAUGAGCCUAGGUCGGAUUAGCUAGUUGGUGAGGUAAUGGCUCACCAAGGCGACGAUCCGUAACUGGUCUGAGAGGAUGAUCAGUCACACUGGAACUGAGACACGGUCCAGACUCCUACGGGAGGCAGCAGUGGGGAAUAUUGGACAAUGGGCGAAAGCCUGAUCCAGCCAUGCCGCGUGUGUGAAGAAGGUCUUCGGAUUGUAAAGCACUUUAAGUUGGGAGGAAGGGCAGUAAAUUAAUACUUUGCUGUUUUGACGUUACCGACAGAAUAAGCACCGGCUAACUCUGUGCCAGCAGCCGCGGUAAUACAGAGGGUGCAAGCGUUAAUCGGAAUUACUGGGCGUAAAGCGCGCGUAGGUGGUUCGUUAAGUUGGAUGUGAAAUCCCCGGGCUCAACCUGGGAACUGCAUCCAAAACUGGCGAGCUAGAGUAUGGUAGAGGGUGGUGGAAUUUCCUGUGUAGCGGUGAAAUGCGUAGAUAUAGGAAGGAACACCAGUGGCGAAGGCGRNNACUNNACUNAUNNANUGACNCUGANGNNCGAAAGCGUGGGUAGCGAACAGGAUUAGAUACCCUGGUAGUCCACGCCGUAAACGAUGGAUACUAGCUGUUGGGAGCAAUCUCAGUGGCUAAGCGAAAGUGAUAAGUAUCCCACCUGGGGAGUACGUUCGCAAGAAUGAAACUCAAAGGAAUUGACGGGGGCCCGCACAAGCGGUGGAGCAUGUGGUUUAAUUCGAUGAUACGCGAGGAACCUUACCAAGGCUUAAAUGUAGUUUGACCGAUUUGGAAACAGAUUUUUCGCAAGACAAAUUACAAGGUGCUGCAUGGUUGUCGUCAGCUCGUGCCGUGAGGUGUCAGGUUAAGUCCUAUAACGAGCGCAACCCCUGUUGUUAGUUGCCAGCGAGUCAUGUCGGGAACUCUAACAAGACUGCCAGUGCAAACUGUGAGGAAGGUGGGGAUGACGUCAAAUCAUCACGGCCCUUACGCCUUGGGCUACACACGUGCUACAAUGGCCGGUACAGAGAGCAGCCACUGGGCGACCAGGAGCGAAUCUAUAAAACCGGUCACAGUUCGGAUCGGAGUCUGCAACUCGACUCCGUGAAGCUGGAAUCGCUAGUAAUCGGAUAUCAGCCAUGAUCCGGUGAAUACGUUCCCGGGCCUUGUACACACCGCCCGUCAAGCCAUGGAAGCUGGGGGUGCC